AUAGCUCAGUGGUAGAGUGUGUGCCUAGCAUGCACGAGGUCCUGGGUUCAAUCCUCAGU
This 59-nucleotide transfer RNA is filed under the name Camelus bactrianus (Bactrian camel). It matches the Rfam family "tRNA", at positions 7 to 64 of the family's 71-position model. Rfam says of the family: Transfer RNA (tRNA) molecules are approximately 80 nucleotides in length. Their secondary structure includes four short double-helical elements and three loops (D, anti-codon, and T loops). Further hydrogen bonds mediate the characteristic L-shaped molecular structure. tRNAs have two regions of fundamental functional importance: the anti-codon, which is responsible for specific mRNA codon recognition, and the 3' end, to which the tRNAs corresponding amino acid is attached (by aminoacyl-tRNA synthetases). tRNAs cope with the degeneracy of the genetic code in two manners: having more than one tRNA (with a specific anti-codon) for a particular amino acid; and 'wobble' base-pairing, i.e. permitting non-standard base-pairing at the 3rd anti-codon position. RNAcentral also lists the same sequence under 2 other names. Lineage: Eukaryota; Metazoa; Chordata; Mammalia; Artiodactyla; Camelidae. The record is from Rfam by way of RNAcentral.